GGGAAUUAGGUGGUUGUGCUGCUGUUUGCCAUUUGAGGACAUCAGCAAAAUGAAGGGUCGUGUGAGAUGGGAUGCGGCUAAUUUGGAGGAUAUUGAAGCAAAUAAGCUUGUGAGACA
Molecule: long non-coding RNA, 117 nt
Organism: Juglans microcarpa x Juglans regia
Lineage: Eukaryota; Viridiplantae; Streptophyta; Magnoliopsida; Fagales; Juglandaceae
Exons: 2
Source: RefSeq, a predicted model, not a curated record